This 241-nucleotide ribosomal RNA is filed under the name uncultured bacterium. RNAcentral describes it as "partial 16S ribosomal RNA". It matches the Rfam family "Bacterial small subunit ribosomal RNA", at positions 15 to 245 of the family's 1533-position model. The record is from RNAcentral.
GAUCCUGGCUCAGGAUGAACGCUAGCUACAGGCUUAACACAUGCAAGUCGAGGGGCAGCGGGAAGUCAGCUUGCUGACUUUGCCGGCGACCGGCGCACGGGUGAGUAACACGUAUCCAACCUCCCGCAUACUCGGGAAUAGCCUUUCGAAGAAAGAUUAAUGCCCGAUGGUUUCAAGGGAUUGCAUGGUAUCUUGAAUAAAGAAUUCAUCGGUAUGCGAUGGGGAGUGCGUUCCCAUUAGG